UGGGGUAUAUUGCACAAUGGAGGGAACUCUGAUGCAGCGACGCCGCGUGAAAGAAGAAGGCUUUCGAGUCGUAAUGUUCUUUUAUAUGGGAAGAUAAUGACGUUACCAUAAGAAAAAGCCCCGGCUAACUACGUGCCAGCAGCCGCGGUAAUACGUAGGGGGCUAGCGUUGUCCGGAAUCACUGGGCGUAAAGGGUUCGCAGGCGGAAAUGCAAGUCAGGUGUAAAAGGAAGUAGCUUAACUACUGUAAGCAUUUGAAACUGCAUAUCUUGAGAAGAGUAGAGGUAAGUAGAAUUAUUAGUGUAGCGGUGAAAUGCGUAGAUAUUAAAAAGAAUACCGGUGGCGAAGGCGACUUACUGGGCUCAUUCUGACGCUGAGGAACGAAAGCGUGGGUAGCAAACAGG
RNAcentral lists this ribosomal RNA (403 nucleotides) under bacterium. RNAcentral's name for it is "partial 16S ribosomal RNA". It matches the Rfam family "Bacterial small subunit ribosomal RNA", at positions 355 to 776 of the family's 1533-position model. The record is from RNAcentral.